GGGCGGGUCCUGUGCGACCGGUGGCCGCGAACCAUGUCAGGCGGGGAACCGAGCAGCAUUAAGCAGUUUUUCCGGUGCGCCGCAGUAAAUCGGCUCAU
Molecule: signal recognition particle RNA, 98 nt
Filed under: Candidatus Equinaster intestinalis
Lineage: Bacteria; Bacillati; Bacillota; Clostridia; Eubacteriales; Acutalibacteraceae
Description: signal recognition particle sRNA small type
Rfam family: Bacterial small signal recognition particle RNA
About the family: The signal recognition particle (SRP) is a universally conserved ribonucleoprotein involved in the co-translational targeting of proteins to membranes.
Source: RNAcentral